Molecule: ribosomal RNA, 463 nt
Filed under: uncultured bacterium
Lineage: Bacteria
Description: partial 16S ribosomal RNA
Rfam family: Bacterial small subunit ribosomal RNA
Source: RNAcentral
GACGAACGCUGGCGGCGUGCUUAACACAUGCAAGUCGAACGGUGAACCUCUUCGGAGGGGAUCAGUGGCGAACGGGUGAGUAACACGUGGGCAACCUGCCCCCGGCUCUGGGAUAACUCCAAGAAAUUGGGGCUAAUACCGGAUGUUCACCGCUUCCCGCAUGGGUGGUGGUGGAAAGGGUUUCCGGCUGGGGAUGGGCCCGCGGCCUAUCAGCUUGUUGGUGGGGUAGUGGCCUACCAAGGCGACGACGGGUAGCCGGCCUGAGAGGGUGACCGGCCACACUGGGACUGAGACACGGCCCAGACCCCUACGGGAGGCAGCAGUGGGGAAUAUUGCGCAAUGGGCGGAAGCCUGACGCAGCGACGCCGCGUGGGGGAUGACGGCCUUCGGGUUGUAAACCUCUUUCAGCAGGGACGAAGCGCAAGUGACGGUACCUGCAGAAGAAGCACCGGCCAACUACGUG